AGUGAUGCCCAUUUUUAUCCACAUGUCUCUGCCUCUUCAGUCUCUUUUUGCUUUGAUGACUCUGUCCCUGCCUUUUCUAUGCUGUCUCUUUUGUCUCCCCUUGCUCUUAUUUCCCUCUUUCCUCUGUCUCUCUGUCUGUCCCUUAUCCUGUCUCCUUCCCACCUCAUCCCCGCCUGACAUAUACUGGCACCUGCCCCUGACCAGCUUCCCUUUGUCUUGGUCCUUCUCCAGUUGCCUGGUAACCGCCUUCCCCACCAGCCCCACAGAAACCAUAGCAACGGGCAGCCCGGAGAUGCGGCCAUUCAUCUUGCUUUUGUCCUGUGCGUUUCCGCCACUGCAGGCCACGCACGUGGACGCUCCAAUUACAGGUACUCAGGCAGGAAGCCUUUGUCCAAGGCCCAUUCACAGCCAAGUGGACUCAGGGAGCCGAAGCUGUCGGGCGCUGCCACACAAAGUGUCUUUGUGCCUCCUCCAGGUGCUCCCUGCAGCGCUCAAGGACAGUGGGAUCUCCAAGCUCACGCUCAAAAGCCCACAUGACAAACAAUGACAGGGAUGGAAAAAAGAGGAACAGACAGACAGACAGACUGACUGACUGACAUCCAACCCAACAGGCUCCAGAAGAAAAGCCCAAGGGCACAGGAACAUACAGUGGGGCAUUGCAAUAGUCUGCACAGAGGCAAGGACUCUGUCCCAGCUCACUGAGUGCACCUCUGGACGCUGAUGCUCUGUCCAUCCUCCAACACAGAUCACUUUAAAGCCACAUAGAUCUUUUCUCUAGCCUCGAUCUUCAGAGCCCCAUUGCAGCUCCCCUUAGUGUGAAGCCUUUCCUGAGCCCUCCCUCACUGCUCAGCAUUGAUUGGGUCACCUGACUCCCUAGACUGUGUGUGUGUGUAUGUGUGUGUGUGUGUGUGUCUGUGUGUCUGUGUGUCUGUGUAUAUGCCUGUAUGUGUGGUAUAUGUGUGUGUAUUUGUGUGUGAGUGUGUGUGUGUGUGUGUGUGUGUGUGGUGUGGUGUGUGUGUGUUGUCUGUGUGUGUGUGGUGUGUGUGUAUGUGACAUGUAGCAUGUGUAUCUAUGUGUGUAUGGUCUCUGUGGUGUGUAUGUGAGUGUGUGUGUGUAUGUGUGUAUGUGUGUGAUGUAUAUGUGUGUGUAUAUGUGUCUCUGUGUGUCUGUGUGUGUGAUGUGUGAAUAUGUGGCAUGUGGUAUGUGUGUCUAUGUGUGUAUGAGCUCCGUGGUGUGUGUAUAUGUAUUUGUGUGUGUGUGAGUUUGUGUGUGUGGUAUGUGUGUAUGCUUAUGUGUGUGGCCUCUGUGUGUGUGUGUUUGUGGUGUGUAUGUAUCUGUGUAUAUGUGUGGUAUGUGUGUGGUAUAUGGUAUAUGUGUGUGUGUGUGUGUGUGGUGUUUGUCCAUGUGUAUGGUCUCUAUGGUGUGUGUGUCUGUGUGUGGCCUCUGUGUGUGUGUGUUUGUGGUGUGUAUGUAUCUGUGUAUAUGUGUGGUAUGCAUGUGGUAUAUGGUAUAUGUGUGUGUGUGUGGUGUUUGUCCAUGUGUGUGGUCUCUAUGGUAUGUGUGUCUGUGUGUAUGGUGUGUGU
Molecule: long non-coding RNA, 1583 nt
Filed under: Mus musculus (house mouse)
Lineage: Eukaryota; Metazoa; Chordata; Mammalia; Rodentia; Muridae
Description: long non-coding RNA chr5:116809233-116810816
Source: RNAcentral